Molecule: long non-coding RNA, 726 nt
Organism: Micropterus salmoides (largemouth bass)
Lineage: Eukaryota; Metazoa; Chordata; Actinopteri; Centrarchiformes; Centrarchidae
Exons: 2
Source: RefSeq, a predicted model, not a curated record
CAUCUUUGCAUUUGUGUUAAUUUCUACCUUAGCAUUCAUCUCCACUCUCCAGUUUGACCUAAAGGAGACAUAUGACCAUAACUACAGGCCAGAACAUGAUUCGUGUAUUUCCUAAAGUACUUAGUGUAAGAGCAGGCAGAACUGAAAGUCGUCAAAGUACAAGAUAUUCAUGGUCCACAGAGGAUGAAUCAUACUGACUUUGAUGAGCACCUGACUUAACUUCAGUGCCACCAGCAGGUUGACAUUUGUGGUUCAGAGUGAAUUUCUUGAAAACUACUGGAUGUGUUGCCAUGAUAUUUGAUUCACACAUUCAUGUUCACCUCAGGUUGAAUUGUAAUUACUUUAUUCCCUUAACGUUUUUUGCUGCAUCAUCAGGUAAAAAUUUUUAUUUGUCCAGUGUUUUGGUUUAUGACCAAAUACCAGUAAAACUAAUUCCCAGCAGUCUCAGCUCUUUACUUUAUUUUUAGUGCUGAUAAGGAAAUGUUAGCAUGCUUACACACUAAAUAAGAUGGAAACGUUUUACUACAUUGUAAACGUUAUACUUGCUGAACAUCAGUAUGUUAGCAUUGUCACUGUGAGCAUGUUAGCUCAUUUAUUUCAUUAUGACAUAAAGAUGUCAAAAUGUUUUGCUGAAACAUUUUGCUAUAGAGGUUUAAUGCCCCUAUUGUAUGUUCCUUUGGAUAAAUGUGAUGGGUCCAAGAAAACCUACACCCCAAAUUAUUAUGC